This 253-nucleotide ribosomal RNA is filed under the name uncultured bacterium. RNAcentral describes it as "partial 16S ribosomal RNA". It matches the Rfam family "Bacterial small subunit ribosomal RNA", at positions 524 to 776 of the family's 1533-position model. The record is from RNAcentral.
UACAGAGGGGGCAAGCGUUGUUCGGAAUUACUGGGCGUAAAGGACGCGCAGGUGGCCUUCUAAGUCAUGCGUGAAAUCCCCGGGCUCAACCCGGGAACUGCGUCUGAUACUGGAAGGCUUGAAUCCGGGAGAGGGAUGCGGAAUUCCAGGUGUAGCGGUGAAAUGCGUAGAUAUCUGGAGGAACACCGGUGGCGAAGGCGGCAUCCUGGACCGGUAUUGACACUGAGGCGCGAAAGCCAGGGGAGCAAACGGG